GUUGUGACAUCUUCGUUAUCAUUCUCCAUUUUUCUAAGCAACAAUAUGGCACUUCCAUGAAGAUCUUGCUUGCAGAGUCCGCUUAUAAAUGUAGAUUUAGUAACUGCAUUUGGUUGACAACCCCUUUCAAACAUUUGAUCAAGUACACCAGGCACUUGAGAAAUCAUAUUACCAUUAAGCAGACCUUUAAUGACAGUGUUAUAUGUCACAACAUUA
This 216-nucleotide small RNA is filed under the name Arabidopsis thaliana (thale cress). Its description in RNAcentral is "ATSL008300". Lineage: Eukaryota; Viridiplantae; Streptophyta; Magnoliopsida; Brassicales; Brassicaceae. The record is from RNAcentral.